Molecule: transfer RNA, 72 nt
Filed under: Sphaerodactylus townsendi
Lineage: Eukaryota; Metazoa; Chordata; Lepidosauria; Squamata; Sphaerodactylidae
Description: tRNA-Ala
Rfam family: tRNA
About the family: Transfer RNA (tRNA) molecules are approximately 80 nucleotides in length. Their secondary structure includes four short double-helical elements and three loops (D, anti-codon, and T loops).
Source: RNAcentral
AGGGUUGUGGCUCAGUGGAAGAACAUCUGCUUGGCAUGCAGAAGAUUCCAAGUUCAAUCCCUGACAUCUCCU